This 569-nucleotide long non-coding RNA is filed under the name Gallus gallus (chicken). Its description in RNAcentral is "lncRNA (ENSGALG00010005993.1)". The record is from RNAcentral. Lineage: Eukaryota; Metazoa; Chordata; Aves; Galliformes; Phasianidae.
GUUUUGCAGCUAAUGAUGCUGGUGGAAUCCCUGUGCCAUCUCUCCAGGUACUCUCCAGGCUCCAGCCAUGCUCCUAAACACUUCCAGAGCUCAGGAAGGGGAAGUUGUCCUGGCUCAGUGUGUCCUUCAGAAGAUAAUACCUGCUGCCCGAAUUGUCUUCUGCAAGGAUGGAAUGGAGGUUUACAGCAUGAAAGCCCAACAGCAUACCGUCAUCUACUCCAUGCUGCUGAACAUCUCUGCAAGAAGCAGUGGGACAUACACGUGUGCGUACCAGCAGAGGAACAAGAGCAAUUGGCUAAGGAGAUCUCCCCUCAGCACUCCCUUGGAUCUACAUGUCACAGGUGGGACUUGACACCAGGGUUGUGCGGACGCAGGGGAUGGGGGGACUAAACAUCACAUAGAUUUUCUGGAUCAAGAAAUGCCAUAGAGAGAAGUGGGCUCUGGAAUGGUCUCCCUCUCCAUCCCGUGCUGCAGAAAUGGGGCACUGCAGUGCCCAGGCUCAGGAAGCAGGUGCAGGGUUUGGGCAAAAUCCCUUUCCUGGGAAGUGAUGCUGCAAGGGCUAUUCAAAA